Homo sapiens (human) is the source of this 428-nucleotide long non-coding RNA. RefSeq lists it as uncharacterized. The record is from RefSeq and is a predicted model, not a curated record. The transcript is spliced from 3 exons. NCBI's taxonomy places the organism in Eukaryota, Metazoa, Chordata, Mammalia, Primates, Hominidae.
AAAAAAAAAAAAAUACAUGUACAUGUAGAAAAAAGACUGGAAGGUGAUACAUGAAAAUGUCAAUACGAUCUCAGUCUUUACCUACUGAACAGAGGAUGUUGUACACUGAUUACAUUUACCCUUUUCUUCCAUAGGAUCAUAGAAGUGUUCCUAUUAGGGAGAAUUCAGGCCGUCUCAAUUUCUGAAGGCUGGGAAGUCCAAGAGGAUAGCACUGGCAUCUGGCAAGGGCCUUCAUGCUGCAUCAUCCCAUGGUGGAAGGCAGAAGGGAAAAGAAUCAAUCAGAAUGAUGGACACAGCAUCUUUAUGGCCUAUCUAGUUUACUGUAGUUUUUAUGGGCUUAAGAAGAAGACCACCUUGUCUAAUCAUGAAAUUUUGAAAAAUUUAAACAUAAAAAAUAAAAUUCCUACAUUCUGGAACUUUUCAGCAAA